AUAUGCGUAUCACUUCGUUCCACAAGUACAGCCAAAGAUUAUAUACUCGAGCAUCUCAGACGUUGUGAUUAUGGUGAUGCUGGAUUUCAGUAGAAUGAAAUGCAUUAAAAAUAGUAGAAUUAGUAACUUGACACUAAUUUUCCAACAAAGAUGUUAUUUCCUUUAAAAUGCAAAAAAUAAGAAAGAAACUCAAUGGCAACAAGUUGUUUGGAUAGAUCAGUAUAACUCAAAAAUAUUACUCUAACAUGAUCACAAUCUACUUAAAUAGUCUCCUUUUAUUUAAUUGAUGCAGUAAAAAUGUAUUUUAUGGAAAUACGUGGGGUAUAGGAACUUAUGUGUUGAAUGAAAAUUACAGAUACUAUAGGUGAUUUUAUCUUUAUCCAAAAUUUCCUGCCAUAGGAACUAAUGUCUUCCAGCAAGAUUAUCCAUAGUAGGGAUGGCAAAUAAAUUGAAUAAAUUCUGAAGAUUGACAAAGACAUUUUACUUGAGAGACCGUAUUAUUCAGUGGCAGAAUUUUACCAUUUACCAUAGCCUCAAUAGAAUGGCAUAAUUCAAUUUAGUGUGAGCUCUUUCCAAUCCUUUGAUGAAAAUAAUAAUGGGAAAGGACAUUUAUUAUUGUUGUAUUACUUAUUUGACAGAAGAAAUAUUUUUCUAGACUGUUUAAGAAUACAUUUGAACUAUUGUUGA
This is a long non-coding RNA of Diorhabda carinulata, 687 nucleotides long. RefSeq lists it as uncharacterized. Lineage: Eukaryota; Metazoa; Arthropoda; Insecta; Coleoptera; Chrysomelidae. The transcript has 5 exons. The record is from RefSeq and is a predicted model, not a curated record.